This is a small nucleolar RNA of Rhododendron vialii, 107 nucleotides long. RefSeq annotates it as small nucleolar RNA snoR100. Lineage: Eukaryota; Viridiplantae; Streptophyta; Magnoliopsida; Ericales; Ericaceae. The record is from RefSeq and is a predicted model, not a curated record. The transcript has a single exon.
CAAUGAAGAAAGCAUGGUAAUGUGCACAUAAAUUGAAUUGGGUCUCUAGGCCUGCCUUCUUUGAUGUCAUUGGCUUUGAUUUGGGGGUAGGGUUCCGCAACAAAACA